AAUAUUUUUAUUUUAUAGUUUACAAUUGUUAUUAAGUAACGUCCUGCCAAACCCGUCCCGCCAAAUCCGUCCACAAAAAAAACUAUUUAUUUUAUUAAUGUUGAUCUUAUUUAUAAUAUGUUUAUGAAUCAUUGUCAAAAUAUUUUAGUCGUUCCGGGACGUUGUAUCCACACAUUUUUCGCCAAUUGGUUAAUAUAUGUUCAUUUUUAAAAUUUCGAAUCACAAAAUAUGACCAACUUUUUUUUGAGAUUUUUUAAAACUCUAUAUAUUAUAUAAUGAUGUUAAAUAUUUUUGAUAUAUUAAACUUUUUAU
This 312-nucleotide small RNA is filed under the name Arabidopsis thaliana (thale cress). RNAcentral describes it as "ATSL178150". The record is from RNAcentral. Lineage: Eukaryota; Viridiplantae; Streptophyta; Magnoliopsida; Brassicales; Brassicaceae.